CAAGUGAAAAAUUAUGUCUAACCAAAAGUAUAAAAUAAAGUAUAAUAAUUAAUAAUUAAGUAUUGUAAAACAAAUACACUAAAUAAAUAUACAUAAAAGAACUCAUUCAAAAUGCAUAUCACAAAAAGUUUAAGCCAUAAUUCUUGGUAGUUUACCUAAUACCCACCAACGAAUCAUCACAUUCAAGCAAGACCAAUCAAAAAUAUUAAUAUAUUCCAAACAAAGUUUAAAAUUACACAUGACUCAUAUAUUGCUCGACCUAUAAACC
This 268-nucleotide long non-coding RNA is filed under the name Panax ginseng (ginseng). Its description in RNAcentral is "long non-coding RNA (PGIN_LNC010189)". The record is from RNAcentral. Lineage: Eukaryota; Viridiplantae; Streptophyta; Magnoliopsida; Apiales; Araliaceae.